ACCACAGACGCCGGGACCGGGACCGCCGCCGACGCCGCCACCAUGAGUGAUCAGCAGCUGGACUGUGCCUUGGACUUAAUGAGGCGCCUGCCUCCACAGCAGAUCGAGAAGAACCUCAGCGACCUGAUUGACCUGGUCCCCAGUCUAUGUGAAGAUCUCCUGUCUUCUGUUGACCAGCCCCUGAAAAUCGCCAGAGACAAGGUGGUGGGAAAGGACUACCUUUUGUGUGACUACAACAGAGAUGGGGACUCGUAUAGGUCACCAUGGAGUAACAAGUAUGAUCCUCCUUUGGAAGAUGGGGCCAUGCCUUCUGCUCGACUGAGAAAGCUGGAGGUGGAGGCCAACAAUGCCUUUGACCAGUACCGAGACCUGUAUUUUGAAGGCGGCGUGUCAUCUGUCUACCUCUGGGAUCUGGAUCAUGGCUUUGCUGGCGUGAUCCUCAUAAAGAAAGCUGGAGACGGAUCCAAGAAGAUCAAAGGCUGCUGGGAUUCCAUCCACGUGGUGGAAGUGUAA
Molecule: RNA transcript, 513 nt
Organism: Hipposideros armiger (great roundleaf bat)
Lineage: Eukaryota; Metazoa; Chordata; Mammalia; Chiroptera; Hipposideridae
Gene name: F-actin-capping protein subunit beta pseudogene
Exons: 2
Source: RefSeq, a predicted model, not a curated record